AUUUAUAUAGUAUAAAAAUUAUUUUUAACUUCCAAUUAAAAGAUCUAUAAACUAGUAUAAAUA
Molecule: transfer RNA, 63 nt
Filed under: Chaetosoma scaritides
Lineage: Eukaryota; Metazoa; Arthropoda; Insecta; Coleoptera; Chaetosomatidae
Description: tRNA-Gly
Source: RNAcentral